GUUUUUUUUUAGAUUAAUUUAUAAUUAAGUAUUUCUCCAAAUAAUGUAUUUUCCAGAAUUUGAAUAAAUUUCAGGUUGUUCAAAUUGUAGAGCUUUGGGAUUAAUAUUUAUAAAACUGGGAGGUAUAUUAACUCCUCUAUAAGUUGUCUCAGUUGAGCAUACUGUAAAGUUUAAGAGCGAAUAGGGAAAAAUAAGCUCAACCAAGUUCGAAUAGAUUUCCUUCUGAGUAAGUUUUUUAGAAUUCUCAGAGAACUUGGCAAUUUUAGGAUGAAGUUCAAUCAACCAAAUAGGAUCUAUUUCUUUAAUUGGACAAUUUAGAAAUGGCUGUAUACCGGCCCCAAAAGGAUCAGGAGCAGAAUAUAAAAAUUCGUUAUAUUUAUUAGAAUUUAUUUUCUCAAGGAACUUUUGUGAAUAGCUUGGAAUUCCUGUUUCAAGGCCAAUAUUUAGCAAAUAUGAGUUAAUUGCUGGAGAAUUAAAAGCUUGCCCUUGAAGUGAUGAAAAGUUGUUCCCAGUCCUAUUAUAUUUAUUUUCCUUAUAUAUUAUUCUAAGCUUAAUACUACCAUACAUUCUUAAUUGGAUGAAUGAAAAUUUCUUAUUGAGUCCGUUCUUUCCAAGAACUUCUUUGGGGUUGUUGAUGGUCCAAAUAAUGUGUUUCUUGUCAUUUGAGAUGAUUAUUUGACCCAUACUAGAUUUAAGGGUAUGACUAAAUAUCAUUACGCUUGGUAUAUUUUGUUUACUAAAGCUGCUGUUGUUCCCACUAUUGUUGAUACUUUCCAGGGUUCCUGGUAAGAGUGGGAUUGAGACUUGACAAACUUGCAUUCCUUUUACAAUUGCAGGGUCAAAACAAAGACAAUAUUCCAUUUGGAAUGAAUGAGUUAAAAUAGGUCUAAAGUGACCUUGAGACUGGGUAAUUUGUUUGAUAGGUUCUUUAGAUUCUGGAGAAAUAGUAAAAUAGCCUUUAAUUGGGAUAUCCAAUUCAUAUGGAUACCAAUAAGUAAAAAUUUUUGAAGAAUUGCUUUGAGAGCUAUUCCAACUUAAUUUGAAUCUAGAUAUAGGAGUAGAUGAUUCAUUUGAAGGCAUAUAAAUCUCGGAAUUAUGCCUAAUAGGAG
RNAcentral lists this non-coding RNA (1109 nucleotides) under Cryptosporidium parvum. The record is from RNAcentral. Lineage: Eukaryota; Apicomplexa; Conoidasida; Eucoccidiorida; Cryptosporidiidae.